CAGAGGGUAUUUUAUAUAAAAUGCUAGUUUUGGGGAUUAGUGAAAUGGUGUUGGAUACCUUUCCUCUGA
RNAcentral lists this transfer RNA (69 nucleotides) under Orthognathotermes sp. n. RNAcentral's name for it is "tRNA-Pro". The record is from RNAcentral. Lineage: Eukaryota; Metazoa; Arthropoda; Insecta; Blattodea; Termitidae.